RNAcentral lists this long non-coding RNA (372 nucleotides) under Vitis vinifera (wine grape). RNAcentral describes it as "long non-coding RNA (VVIN_LNC003010)". Lineage: Eukaryota; Viridiplantae; Streptophyta; Magnoliopsida; Vitales; Vitaceae. The record is from RNAcentral.
AUGGUCUGUGGCACCGGAGUCUAUUAUCCAAGAGUCAUCAUAAACCCUGUGUGAGACAUUUAUGCAAAAAGAGAGUGAAAGUGUACCUAAAAGAGGCAAAGAACAAGUUCUAGUAGGUUUGUCAAGGGAUCCCAACAAGCUUCUCAACUUCUCCAUUUCUUCACUAUUGAACAAGUUCCAGUAGGUUUGUAAAGAACACGUGAAUAAAAAAAAAAUCCAGCUAUGAAGGCUAGAAAAAUGGCGAUGAAGGCCAGAAUGAUGCCCAGGUCUUAAAAACCUACAACUCUGAUACCAUGACACGAAAUAUGGGAUGAAAAAUAAUAAGUUAUGUCUAUUAGAUUGACUAUACACAUAGUUUAUAUAGGAGAUUAC